Molecule: long non-coding RNA, 2698 nt
Filed under: Capsicum annuum
Lineage: Eukaryota; Viridiplantae; Streptophyta; Magnoliopsida; Solanales; Solanaceae
Description: long non-coding RNA (CANN_LNC007243)
Source: RNAcentral
UUUUGUUAACAAAAAUUUCACGUUUAAUACGAUUAGGAGCCUUCAUUAAUGGGUUACCUUAUUUAUUCACUCAAUUUUGUCUCCUUUUUAUUUAGGUUUAGGUCAUUAUUUCAAAAAUGUCUAGAGGAAAAAAAAUAGUUUAGAUUGAAAUGGUGUGUAUUGCAGCAGUUCGGUAUUUUUAUAACUAAAAAAAGAAAAAGCACAUUUAAAAGGUUCAUCAAGAGCUUAAAGAUGACAAUGGUAAUCUCCGUCUCCUCUAUUUUUAAUUUAUGUUUAAUCUUUUAUUCAUAGAGAAAGAUAAUUUAAUUAAAUCAAUUUUAUGUGUCUUAUUAUUAUCUUUUGCAUGAAUAUUGAUAACACAUAUGAGAAUAAAUAUGAAUUGUGUUAGAUAUGAUAGCAAGAUUAUAAAAUCUCAACAAGAUUAUAAAAUCUCUGAAGUUAAGAGGUAAAUUAUAUCCUUCUAUGACUUCAUUGUGACAAAGUAUGUAAGUAAGAGAUAUUCUAAUUUUCAACCCACAUAUUUAUAAACGGAGGAUUAAAUUUGUUAUGAACAAGCUAAUAACUAUUUACACUUGCUUGCAAUUGCAAUUUGUUUUGGAUUCAAUUUUAUUUUUAGAAUUAGAAUGACAUGAAGUUUUUGGUCCACAAGAUUGUUGGCUUUAAAGAGGGAGAGAUUUUUCUUCUCAAAAAGGACAAUUAAUAUAAGAUUCGUUAUUUUCUCCUUUUUACUAUAAAAGUGUAGCAUUCCAGAAAUUUAAAUCAAAUUGAAAUCGUUGAAUUUCGUGUAAUUCAACUCGAGCUAUGAUAAGUUGUAUCUUAUUUAAUUCAGAUUUUUAUAUAAUAUUUAAAUCCAAUUCACACCUCCUCUUCUUAUUUUCAGAAUAAAAUGAGACAGAGAUUGAAGAUUCUUGUACACGAGAUCGUCUGCAUCAAAGAAGAGAGAAGACUUUUCUUAUCAAAGAAAAUCAAUUAAUAAAAGUUUAAUAUUUUCCUCUUUUUUAUUAACGAGGCACACACCUCCUCCUUUUCUUCUUCUUCUUCUUCUUCUUCUUCUUCUUCUUCUUCUUUUUUUUUUUUUAAUUAUUGAGUGUGUAACUUCAUAGAUAAUAUGAAAAAAGGUUAAAAAUAUCCCUGAAUUAUUUGAAAUAGAUCAAAAAUAUUCUUCUUAUUUUUUAGCUUAAAAAUACCUUUUUGUUUAUUUUUUGGGCUCCAAAAUACCCCUCCGUUUAUUUUUGGCUCAAAAAUUUCUCUAUAAUGAAAUGCCAUCAAGCACCGCCACGUGGAUGAAAAAGUCACUUCGCCAGUACACAUUAGCAUAUACAUGAAAAAUCACUUCAUUUAAUCCAUCUAAUCAUCAACCCAUUUUUGUCUAUUUAAAAGAUCCAAUCCCACUCAUAUUAAAAGAAAAUCCGAUCCAAGAAGAAAAAAAUUGAAGAAUUUGAUUGCUUAUUUUCCAUGUGAUGGGUUCAGAUAUUCCGAAUCGAUCAAGGCAAAAGAUGAGAAAACAAUCAGGUCCUGAUCCGAAAGAAUUGGGUUGACCCUAAAUAAUUGGAUCCUCAAAUAGUCGAUUCGAUUUUCAAGAGCUCGGAUUGCUAGUGGAUGUCCUAUCUGAAUUUAUCUAAUGAGGAAUCCGAUUGUAGUGAGAGGAAUGAUAACUUGAAGAUGAAAUUGAAAUUUGGAGAGAGAAAGUUUAGUGGCAAUGUAGGACAACCACAAGUUGAUGAGGUCAAGAAUUGCUAGAGUGAGUCUCGUAGCUUUGAAAAUGUUAAUAAUGAAAUUGAAGGUGGUGAAAGGGAUGACUCGAAGAAAAAAACUGAAAAUUAAAUUUUGCAUGUUGGUUUGAAUUUUUUGAAUAUGGAUCGAGUUGGAUUUUUAAAUAGAAUAAAAUAGAUUGAUGGUUAAAUAAAUUAAAUUGAGUGAUUUUUCACGUGUAUGCUUGCAUGGAUUGGUUAAGUAGUCUUUUUUAUCCACGUGGCGUACUUGGUGGCAUUCCGUUAGAGAGAAGGGUAUUUCUAAGCCAAAAAAUUAACGAAGGGGUAUUUUUGAGCCUAAAAAAUAAACAAAAAGGUAUUUUUGAGCCAAAAAAUAAACGAAGAAUAUUUUUGAUCCAUUUCAAAUAGUUCAGAGGUAUUUUUUAUCCUUUUUCGUAGAUAAUAGCAUUCAUAACUAUGCAUUCUUUAUUGUGUAUUUCCCUUAUAAAUUGAGUAAAUAAUAUUAUUAAUUAUUUAUUGUCAUUCAAUAAAAUUUCACAUAUUUAACAUAAAUUGCUAUUUUUUUUAUAUAAUUUUAUUUAUUUUAUACAUUAUUUUAUUAAUUAACAUAAAAUAUACGUGCAAAAUACAUAUACGAAACUAGUCUACUGUAAGCAUAUGAAACAUUCACUAAAGUGGCUUACACACCAUGUGUCUCUCUUUUCCCCAUCGCAGCAAUGGCGACAACUGGCUGUUAUUAUGGGAUUCCUUUUUAGCAAAGUUUGUUCCAAAAAUAACUGUAGAGACUUUACACAAGUCAAAUAUAUCUGCUAUGGAUUUUAUUCUGUCUUUUAGGAGAGGUCAAAACUGAAAAGUAUGGUUUAUGGAAUGGGGAAUACUACUAGCAUUUGUUAUCAUUCCGGUUCAAAAGCUGGCAAAAAAUGAGUAAGCUACUUUUUAUAAUCGUGGUGUCCAGGUCUAUUGUGUAUACUUUGAUUAAUUUUAUG